Molecule: non-coding RNA, 88 nt
Organism: Venturia effusa
Lineage: Eukaryota; Fungi; Ascomycota; Dothideomycetes; Venturiales; Venturiaceae
Source: the annotation of a GenBank genome assembly
GACCGUGUGGCUCAGUUGGUUAGAGCGUGGUGCUAAUACUGCAUGUGUUGCAACGCUAAGGUCCUGGGUUCGACCCCCAGCAUGGUCA